GACGAACGCUGGCGGCGUGCUUAACACAUGCAAGUCGAACGGGAUCCGGGCUUUCGGGUUUGGUGAGAGUGGCGAACGGGUGAGUAGCACGUGAGUAACCUGCCCCCUUCUUUGGGAUAACGUCGGGAAAUCGGCGCUAAUACUGGAUAUUCUUGCUGCAUCGCAUGGUGUGGUUUGGAAAGGGUUUCUGGUGGGGGAUGGGCUCGCGGCCUAUCAGCUUGUUGGUGGGGUGAUGGCCUACCAAGGCUUUGACGGGUAGCCGGCCUGAGAGGGUGUCCAGCCACACUGGGACUGAGACACGGCCCAGACUCCUACGGGAGGCAGCAGUGGGGAAUAUUGCACAAUGGGCGCAAGCCUGAUGCAGCGACGCCGCGUGAGGGAUGACGGCCUUCGGGUUGUAAACCUCUUUCAGUAUGGAACAAGGAUCCUUCUUUUGGGGGGUUUGAGGGUACGUGCAGAAGAAGCGCCGGCUAACUACGUG
Molecule: ribosomal RNA, 481 nt
Filed under: uncultured bacterium
Lineage: Bacteria
Description: partial 16S ribosomal RNA
Rfam family: Bacterial small subunit ribosomal RNA
Source: RNAcentral